RNAcentral lists this ribosomal RNA (537 nucleotides) under uncultured bacterium. RNAcentral describes it as "bacterial SSU rRNA". It matches the Rfam family "Bacterial small subunit ribosomal RNA", at positions 777 to 1310 of the family's 1533-position model. The record is from RNAcentral.
AAUAGAUACCCGGGUAGUCCACGCCGUAAACGGUGAGUGCUAAGUGUUAGAGGGUUUCCGCCCUUUAGUGCUGCAGCUAACGCAUUAAGCACUCCGCCUGGGGGAGUACGGCCGCAAGGCUGAAACUCAAAGGAAUUGACGGGGGCCCGGCACAAGCGGUGGAGCAUGUGGUUUAAUUCGAAGCAACGCGAAGAACCUUACCAGGUCUUGACAUCCUCUGCCAACCCUAGAGAUAGGGUGUUCCCCUUCGGGGGACAGAGUGACAGGUGGUGCAUGGUUGUCGUCAGCUCGUGUCGUGAGAUGUUGGGUUAAGUCCCGCAACGAGCGCAACCCUUGAUCUUAGUUGCCAGCAUUUAGUUGGGCACUCUAAGGUGACUGCCGGUGACAAACCGGAGGAAGGUGGGGAUGACGUCAAAUCAUCAUGCCCCUUAUGACCUGGGCUACACACGUGCUACAAUGGAUGGUACAAAGAGCUGCGAACCCGCGAGGGUAAGCCAAUCUCAUAAAGCCAUUCUCAGUUCGGAUUGUAGGCUGCAA